AUUGAACGCUGGCGGCAGGCCUAACACAUGCAAGUCGAACGGUAACAGGAAGAAGCUUGCUUCUUUGCUGACGAGUGGCGGACGGGUGAGUAAUGUCUGGGAAACUGCCUGAUGGAGGGGGAUAACUACUGGAAACGGUAGCUAAUACCGCAUAACGUCGCAAGACCAAAGAGGGGACCUUCGGGCCUCUUGCCAUCGGAUGUGCCCAGAUGGGAUUAGCUAGUAGGUGGGGUAACGGCUCACCUAGGCGACGAUCCCUAGCUGGUCUGAGAGGAUGACCAGCCACACUGGAACUGAGACACGGUCCAGACUCCUACGGGAGGCAGCAGUGGGGAAUAUUGCACAAUGGGCGCAAGCCUGAUGCAGCCAUGCCGCGUGUAUGAAGAAGGCCUUCGGGUUGUAAAGUACUUUCAGCGGGGAGGAAGGGAGUAAAGUUAAUACCUUUGCUCAUUGACGUUACCCGCAGAAGAAGCACCGGCUAACUCCGUG
Molecule: ribosomal RNA, 489 nt
Filed under: uncultured bacterium
Lineage: Bacteria
Description: partial 16S ribosomal RNA
Rfam family: Bacterial small subunit ribosomal RNA
Source: RNAcentral